This is a non-coding RNA of Podarcis lilfordi (Lilford's wall lizard), 76 nucleotides long. NCBI's taxonomy places the organism in Eukaryota, Metazoa, Chordata, Lepidosauria, Squamata, Lacertidae. The record is from the annotation of a GenBank genome assembly.
GGACCUGGAUAGCUCAGUUGGUUAGAGUAUGGUGCUAAUAAUUCCAAGGUUGCAGGUUCAAUCCCCAUAUGGGCCA